This 76-nucleotide transfer RNA is filed under the name Chloroflexi bacterium CG_4_10_14_0_8_um_filter_46_9. RNAcentral describes it as "tRNA-Asn". It matches the Rfam family "tRNA". From Rfam's summary of the family: Transfer RNA (tRNA) molecules are approximately 80 nucleotides in length. Their secondary structure includes four short double-helical elements and three loops (D, anti-codon, and T loops). The record is from RNAcentral. Lineage: Bacteria; Bacillati; Chloroflexota.
UCCCUGGUAGCUCAGUCGGUAGAGUAGCGGACUGUUAAUCCGUUUGUCGGUGGUUCGAGUCCACCUCGGGGAGCCA